UUCCAGCCGAUUUCAGAAUGAGAGACACCUUAAAAAUCAGAAUUUCGUCAUAUUAGUAGGAAAAGCCUCCAGCUGACUCACCAGGAGGAAAAUUCAACAUCCCUUAUUCUAGAGAUUGCCCUUCAUCUCCUUCCAUGGACUCACCCAUGAUGAUUCCAGAAAACUAGCCAAAGACAUAGCUUAACGUUUUGUGGGGAAUACAAGACUUUCCUUCUCAAGUUCUACAUUACUAAGAAGCUCAGAUUCUAAGGUACAAAAGAGAGUGAGUGAUCUGGGAUGAUGAAGCUCCUAGAAUGUGUUUGCAACACAACCAAGGAACCACAGGUUUGGAAACCAAGGCUUGUAUAUGAGUUAAUAAUUUGUCUGACACUUGCCCCAAAGAAGACAUUUUCCUUAUUUUAUUAAACAGUAAACAAUCCUGUUUUCUGUUUCUGAAGGAAACAUUGUAGCUCCUUUCUAAGGCUGUCAAUUAUACAAAAAUCCUAUUGCAAAAUAUGCAAACA
Molecule: non-coding RNA, 503 nt
Organism: Ictidomys tridecemlineatus (thirteen-lined ground squirrel)
Lineage: Eukaryota; Metazoa; Chordata; Mammalia; Rodentia; Sciuridae
Source: RefSeq, a predicted model, not a curated record